RNAcentral lists this long non-coding RNA (1325 nucleotides) under Numida meleagris (helmeted guineafowl). RNAcentral's name for it is "lncRNA (ENSNMEG00000000260.1)". The record is from RNAcentral. Lineage: Eukaryota; Metazoa; Chordata; Aves; Galliformes; Numididae.
UGACACUGGGAGCUGACACUGGGUGACAGUGACGGUGACAGCGGUUGUAGCUGUGAUAGUGAUGGUGACAAGCAGUGAUGGUGACAACGGCGGUGUCCAUGGCAACAAGAAUUGGUGACAGUGACCGUGACGGUGGUGACCAUGGCACCAACAACCGGUGACAGUGACGGUGUUGGUGACGGUGACAAUGUUGGUGACAGUGACAGCGACUGUAGCUCUGAUAGUGACAGUGACAAGCAGUGAUGGUGACAACAGCGGUGACCAUGGCAACAACAACUGGUGACAGUGACAGUGACAGUGACAGUGUUGGUGACAGUGAUGGUGUUGGUGACAGUGAUAGUGACAGUGACAGCAAUUGUAGCUGUGAUAGUGACAGUGACAAGCAGUGACGGUGACAACAGCGGUGACCAUGGCAACAAGAAUUGGUGACAGUGACGGUGUUGGUGCCGGUGCUGGUGCCGGUGCUGGUGCCGGUGAUGGUGACGGUGACGGUGACGGUGACAGUCUUGGUGAUGGUGACGGUGAUGGUGACGGUGCUGGUGACGGUGAUGGUGACGGUGUUGGUGCCAGUGAUGGUGACGGUGAUGGUGACGGUGAUGGUGACGGUGACAGUCUUGGUGAUGGUGACGGUGCUGGUGACGGUGCUGGUGCCGGUGAUGGUGACGGUGAUGGUGACGGUGCUGGUGACGGUGACAGUCUUGGUGAUGGUGACGGUGAUGGUGACGGUGAUGGUGACAGUGAUGGUGACGGUGAUGGUGACGGUGAUGGUGACGGUGAUGGUGACAGUGAUGGUGACGGUGAUGGUGACGGUGAUGGUGACGGUGAUGGUGACGGUGAUGGUGACGGUGACAGUCUUGGUGAUGGUGACGGUGAUGGUGACGGUGCUGGUGCCGGUGAUGGUGACGGUGAUGGUGACGGUGAUGGUGACGGUGCUGGUGCCGGUGAUGGUGACGGUGCUGGUGACGGUGAUGGUGACAGUGAUGGUGACGGUGAUGGUGACGGUGAUGGUGACAGUGAUGGUGACGGUGUUGGUGCCGGUGAUGGUGACGGUCAUGGUGAUGGUGACAGUCUUGGUGAUGGUGACGGUGCUGGUGUUGGUGCCGGUGAUGGUGACGGUGAUGGUGACGGUGACAGUCUUGGUGAUGGUGAUGGUGAUGGUGACGGUGAUGGUGACGGUGACGGUGAUGGUGACGCUGUCCCCGUGUCCAGGUGUUGCUGGAGCUGCGGGCGCUGGCGGCGGUGCCGCGUCUCGGCUCUGGCCCCCCCCAGGGGGAGGUGAGCGGGAACCUGCGGCUGCUGCACGGGGUGAGACUGGGGGCACUGGG